AAUGAACGCUGGCGGCGUGCCUAACACAUGCAAGUUGAGCGGUAAGGCCCCUUCGGGGGUACACGAGCAGCGAACGGGUGAGUAUCGCGUGGGUAAUCUACCCAGAGAUGGGGGAUAGCCCCGGGAAACCGGGGGUAAUACCGCAUGAGUCCUCGAUGGCAUAAGUCGACGAGGGGAAAGGCGGGGCUCCUUCGGGACCUGUCGCCUCUGGAUGAGCCCGCGUCCGAUUAGCUUGUUGGUGGGGUAAUGGCCUACCAAGGCGACGAUCGGUAGCCGGCCUGAGAGGGUGAACGGCCACAUUGGGACUGAGACACGGCCCAGACUCCUACGGGAGGCAGCAGUGGGGAAUUUUGGGCAAUGGGGGAAACCCUGACCCAGCGGCGCCGCGUGGAGGAUGACGGCCCUCGGGUUGUAAACUCCUGUCAGGUGGGAAGAAAAGCUUGUCGGUUAAUACCCGGCAGGAAUUGACGGUACCACCAAAGGAAGCCCCGGCUAACUCCGUG
This 503-nucleotide ribosomal RNA is filed under the name uncultured bacterium. RNAcentral's name for it is "bacterial SSU rRNA". It matches the Rfam family "Bacterial small subunit ribosomal RNA", at positions 28 to 507 of the family's 1533-position model. The record is from RNAcentral.